This 579-nucleotide ribosomal RNA is filed under the name uncultured bacterium. RNAcentral describes it as "bacterial SSU rRNA". It matches the Rfam family "Bacterial small subunit ribosomal RNA", at positions 185 to 780 of the family's 1533-position model. The record is from RNAcentral.
ACCGCAUGGUGCAGGGGUCAAAGGAGCAAUCCGCUGAAAGAUGGGCUCGCGUCCGAUUAGCUAGAUGGUGAGGUAACGGCCCACCAUGGCGACGAUCGGUAGCCGGACUGAGAGGUUGACCGGCCACAUUGGGACUGAGACACGGCCCAGACUCCUACGGGAGGCAGCAGUGAGGGAUAUUGGGCAAUGGGGGAAACCCUGACCCAGCGACGCCGCGUGAGGGAAGACGGUCUUCGGAUUGUAAACCUCUGUCUUUGGGGACGAAAAAGGACGGUACCCAAGGAGGAAGCUCCGGCUAACUACGUGCCAGCAGCCGCGGUAAUACGUAGGGAGCGAGCGUUGUCCGGAAUUACUGGGUGUAAAGGGAGCGUAGGCGGGAAGGCAAGUUGGAUGUGAAAACUGUGGGCUUAACCGACAGACUGCAUUCAAAACUGUUUUUCUUGAGUGAAGUAGAGGCAAGCGGAAUUCCUAGUGUAGCGGUGAAAUGCGUAGAUAUUAGGAGGAACACCAGUGGCGAAGGCGGCUUGCUGGACUGAAACUGACGCUGAGGCUCGAAAGCGUGGGGAGCAAACAGGAUUA